UAUUGAAGAAUCGUUAUAUGGUGAUCC
This 27-nucleotide small RNA is filed under the name Bombyx mori (domestic silkworm). Its description in RNAcentral is "ovarian small RNA-24188". The record is from RNAcentral. Lineage: Eukaryota; Metazoa; Arthropoda; Insecta; Lepidoptera; Bombycidae.